Molecule: RNA transcript, 6539 nt
Organism: Prosopis cineraria
Lineage: Eukaryota; Viridiplantae; Streptophyta; Magnoliopsida; Fabales; Fabaceae
Gene name: disease resistance protein At4g27190-like
Exons: 11
Source: RefSeq, a predicted model, not a curated record
CAGAAAUGUGCGAAUUUGCCCUUGGCAAUAGUUGCUGUUGGAAAAGCUUUAAAGAUUAACAAGGACAAAGAUGCUUGGGAAAAUGCUCUACAACGAUUGGAAAAGCAAGAAUUAGAACCUGUUAAAUUUUCGGACAAGGUUGUUUUUGCAUCUUGUCAACAUUUGAGACUUUGUUGUUAUCCUGAGCUAGAGCAGCAGCUAUGGCAGGGGAAAGUUUUCCACCAGACAACUGCUUUAACAAUCUAAGAACACUGAUAGUGGAGAAUUGUUCCUUUCUGUCACAAGUGUUCCCUUCAAACUUACUUCCUUACUUUAAGAACUUGGAGGAGUUGGAGGUAAGUUGGAGUCCAGUGGAGGUUAUUUUUGAUAUGGAUGGCAACAGGUUGACAGAAACAAAUGGAAAGCCCUUUCAUUUGAGAAGAAUGAUUUUAAAGAGCUUGCCGAAUUUGAAGUGUAUAUGGAGCAAAGAUCCUUGUGGCACUAUAAGUUUUCCAAAUCUGAAAGAAAUGGUUGUUAUUGACUGUACGGGUAUAAAAACUGUUUUUCUGGCAUCUGUGGGAAAAAAUCUUGUGAGGCUCCAAAAACUUGAAAUAGGCCUAUGUGAUGGCUUGGAAGAAAUAUUUGGAAAGGAAGAAGCAGAAGCGGAUGGAGUCAGUAGAAAAUUUGAAUUCCGUUACUUAGCCUCUUUGAAUCUGCAUGGUUUACCGAGCCUCAAGUUUUUUUAUCCUGGAAGAUAUACUCUCGAGUGUCCCAACUUGGAGAGGCUACACGUGUUUGAUUGCAAUAAGCUGGAUGCAUUCGCAUUAGAUUUUCCGAGUCAUCGAGGAGAAGUAGGAUGUGAGGAUGAAGCUGAUAUUACAACUGACAGGCAACCUCUUUUCCUGGAUGAAAAGGUUAUUCCGAACUUGGGCGCAUUAACCCUCAAUGGGAAAGACGUGAUGAUGUUAUCACAUGAAAAUUUUCUUGAUGACCUGCUUCACAAGCUGAAAUACCUGGGUCUGUACUUUGGUGAUUCCCAUGAAGCAGGAGCUACUCUGCCUUUUAAAUUCUUUCACAAGGUGCCUAAUUUAGAAUCUCUUGGUAUAAGAAGUUUCAAUGAACUGGAUGAGAUGUUCCCCUCCCAAAGACCUGAAGAUAUUGAUCAUGUCAUCAAUAUACUUACGCAAGUGGAAGAAUUAUCCAUGCAUUGUUUGCCAAUGCUCUCCUCCAUUGGAUUACAUAAUUCCUGGGUGGACCCACUUCACAAGAAUCUGAGAGUCCUGGACAUAUAUGAUUGUCCUCGUUUGACUAUUCUGGUGCCUUCAUCUGCGGUAUCCUUUUGCAAUUUGAAACGAUUGGAAAUAAGGGGAUGCCAUGGGUUAGUUUCUCUGUUCUCAUCUUCAGUAGCCAGAAGUUUGGGGCGACUUGAAAGAAUGGAGAUAACUGAUUGUAGAUCAAUAGCACAAAUAGUGAAUCAUGGGAGCGGUGAGUCAACUCCAGAAGAGAUGAUUUUUGAACGGCUUACAUUUAUAACUAUGAGUCAGUUACCAAGGCUGGUGUGUUUUUAUUCGGGGAAUGCCACUUUAGAAUUCUCAGCUCUGAGAGAAGCGACCAUAGAACAAUGCCCGAAGAUGAAAUGUUUCUCUCAAGGAGCAGUAAGGGCGCCCUACUUUGUAGGAAUAAGAGCUCCAAGGGACGGAGUUGCUUGGCACGGCUAUAGUGAUCUCAACACAACAGUGCAGAAAUUGUUUGACGAGAAGUUGGAGCAGCUGGCACAAUUUGCACGUGAUGUGCAGCAAAUGAAUCUCAAAGAUCAUUGUGAGCUUGAAGAUAUAUGGCUUGAUAAAAUGGCAGUCCCUGAUGGAGGGUUCAAUCGGUUGAAGACUUUGACAGUGGAUAGUUGCUAUUUCUUAUCAAAGAAUGUGAUCCCUUUUCACUUGCUUGGCUUCCUUUGUAACUUGGAAGUUUAGAAGUACGAAAUUGUGGUUCUGUAAAGGCAAUAUUUGAGGUGGGAUCCCUGUCUUCCCCAUUCUCCUUUCUCUUGAAAACAUUGACCUUGGAACGUCUCUCUAAUCUGGAGAAUGUUUGGAAUAAUGAGGACCCUCAUGAAUUUCUCAGCUUCCAAUCUUUGCAACGUAUGUCUGUUAAUGAAUGUAGAAGUCUCAAGAGCUUAUUUCCAGCAUCAAUGGCUGCACCAGGCAAACUUGUGAGUGUUGAAAAACUAGAAGUGGAAGAUUGUGUGGAAUUAGUAGAAAUUGUUGCCAAGGAUGAAACAACUCCAAGAGGAGCAGCUUCAAACUCAAUUCUAUUUCCCAGCUUAACCAUGUUGAAGCUAGGCAGAUUGCCAAAGCUCAAGUGCAUCUAUUCAGGACAAAAUAAUCUGGAAUGGCCCAGGUUACAAGAAUUGGUUGUAUAUCAGUGCAGUUUGCUAAAGAAUUUCCCAGCAUUGGGUCAAGAUCAUUUUCCAGUUGAUGCGGAAAAGGUUUUUCCCAACCUCGAGCAUCUUUCACUUAGCGGGGAAAACAUCUUGCAUACUUGGCAAGCCCCGAUUAAGGCAAAGCUUCUUCAAAGAGUGAAAUUUCUGGAAUUGAAAUUCAUUGGUUUUGAUUAUGAUAAAUUUCCAUAUGGAUUUUUCCAAAAGGAAUUACUACCCCAUGUAAAAAGCUUCAAGUGUAUGGGGGUAACUUCAAAGAGAUAUUUACCUCUGAAAUAUCAAGUAUGGAAGGCAAUGGUGAUAUGUUCUUUUCUGAAUUGAAAAUUUUAGAAUUAAUGUCGCAGUCGAAGCUCUAUUUAAUCGGGCUGGAGCACAUGCCUCUACCUAGACACCUAGAAAUGUUGAAAGUGGAUUGAUUGUCCUUGUUUGAUCAACUUGGCACCAUCUACUGUGGCUUUCUCAAAUUUAAGGGGUCUACAUGUGAGUAAUUGCAUGGCAUUGCAAUAUUUGUUCACAUCCUCAACGGCAAAAGGUUUACUUUACUUGAAGAGUUAACAGUAAGUUCAUGUGGAUCAAUACAACAAAUAGUGGGUGAAGGAGGAAAAUCAGGUGCAGAUGAAAUUACAUUCAGGAAACUCAAAACAUUGUCUCUUUCUGAUUUGCAUAGUCUUGGAAGCUUUCAGGGGAAAUUCUACUCUGAACUCCCAUCAUUGGAACUUGUGAUUGUUCAUGAGUGUCCGAGAAUGAAAAUUUUUUCCCAUGGAGUUAUAAAUGCAUCUCAGCUUGUACAAUUUCAGCCAAUCCUCUUGACACGCACCAAAAUUCUCGUCCAGAGUAUAGUGGCAGGGAUCUAAAUGCCGCGAUUUCUCAUUUACAGCUGGCACAAUUUGCACGUGAUGUGCAGCAAAUGAAUCUCAGAGAUCAUUUUGAGCUUGCAGAUAUAUGGCUUGAUAAAGUGGCAGUCCCUGAUGGAGGGUUCAAUCGGUUGAAGACUUUGACAGUGGAUAGUGUCUAUUUCUUAUCAAAGAAUGUGAUCCCUUUUCGCUUGCUUGGCUUCCUUUGUAACUUGGAAGUUUUAGAAGUACGAAAUUGUGGUUUGGUAAAGGCAAUAUUUGAGGUGGGAUCCCUGUCUUCCCCAUUCUCCUUUCUCUUGAAAACAUUGACCUUGGAAGGUCUCUCUAGUCUGGAGAAUGUUUGGAAUUAUGAGGACCCUCAUGAAUUUCUCAGCUUCCAAUCUUUGCAACGUGUGUCUGUUAAGGAAUGUAUAAGGCUCAAGAGCUUAUUUCCACCAGGCAAACUUGUAAAUGUUGAAAAUCUAACCACGUUGGAGCUACGCAGAUUGCCAGAGCUCAAGUGCAUCUAUUCAGGGCAAAAUAUUCUGGAAUGGCCCAAGUUACAAAAGUUGGUUGUAUAUCAGUGCAUUUUGCUAAAGAAUUUCCCAGCAUUGGGUCAAGAUCAUUUUCCAGUUGAUGCGGAAAAGGUUUUUCCCAACCUUGAGCAUCUUUCACUUAGCGGGGAAAACAUCUGGCAUACUUGGCAAGCCCCGAUUAAGGCAAAGCUUCUUCAAAGAGUGAAAUUUCUGGAAUUGAAAUUCGCUGGUUAUGAUUAUGAUAAAUUUCCAUAUGGAUUUUUCCAAAAGGAAUUGCUACCCCAUGUAAAAAAGGUUCACGUGUGUGGGGGUAGCUUGAAAGAGAUAUUUACCUCUGAAAUAUCAAAUAUGGAAGGCAAUGGUGAUAUGGUCUUUCUGAAUUGAAAAUUUUAGAAUUAAUGCAUCAGUGGAUGCUCAAUUUAAUCGGGCUGGAGCACACUCCUCUACCUAGACACCUAGAAAUGUUGAAAGUGGAUGAUUGUCCUUGUUUGAUCAACUUGGCACCAUCUACUGUGGCUUUCUCAAAUUUAAGGGGUCUACAUGUGAGUAAUUGCAGGGCAUUGCAAUAUUUGAUCACAUCCUCAACGGCAAAAAGUUUUACUUUACUUGAAGAGUUAACAGUAAGUUCAUGUAGAUCAAUACAACAAAUAGUUGGUGAAGGAGGAAAUGAAUCAGGUGCAGAUGAAAUUACAUUCAGGAAACUCAAAACAUUGUCUCUUUCUGAUUUGGACAGUCUUGGAAGCUUUCUAGUUGGAAAUUCUCCUCUUAACUUCCCAUCAUUGGAACUUGUGACUGUUCAUGAGUGUCCGAGAAUGAGAAUUUUUUCCCAUGGAGAUAUAAAUGCAUCUAAGGUUGUACAAUUUUCAGCCAAUCCUCUUGAUACGCGCCAAAAUUCUCGUCCAGAGUAUAGUGGCAGGGAUCUAAAUGUCGGGAUAUUUCAUUUACGGCUUGCAAACCGUGCACAAGACGAAUAUCUGGAGCUUUGAGAUAACCCGGAGCUACUGGAAGUAUGGCAGUGUGUUGUGCCAGUCCCAGAUAGAGAGGCUUUUGUAACUUGACGGAUCUGACAGUGCAUGGUUGCCAAUCUUUGACACAUGCGAUUCCCUCUCACUUGGUCCCCUUCCUCUGUAGCUUGAAAUGGUUAACAGUACGAGAUUGCAAUGCUGUCAAGGCAAUAGUUGAUGUGGGUCCCAUGUCCACGCCUUUCUCCUUUGCACUGGAAACAUUGACGUUGGAACAAUUACCCAAUCUGGAACAUGUUUGGAACGAGGAUCCUAAGGAAAUUAUCAGCUUCCAAUGUUUGCAGGAAGUGUGUAUUGAUGGGUGCAGUGGCCUCAAAAGCUUGUUUCCAGCAUCAAUGGCCCAGGGCAAACUUGAAAGCCUCAGGGAACUAAAAGUGAAAAAUUGUGAACAAUUAGUAGAAAUUGUUGCCGGGUAUGAAACAAUCUCAGGAGGAGCAACUUCAAACUCAAUUAUCUUUGCUGGCCUAACCAUGCUGAAACUCCAUACAUUGCCAAAGCUCAAGUGCAUCCAUCCAUCAAUAGACAAUUUGGAAUGGCCCAAGUUAGAAAAAUUACUUGUCUAUCAAUGUGGUCAGCUGAAGAAUUUCCCACCAUUAGGUCAAGAUUAUUUUGCAAAAGACACAAAAGCCACUAUCUCACAUUAGAAAAGGUUUUUCCCAACCUAAAGCAAUUGUCACUCAGCAAGAAACACAUCAUGCAAAUUUGGCAAUCUCCAUUCCAGGCAAAGCUUCUUCAGAGAGUGAAAUCUCUCAAAUUGAAAUUCUUUAUUGAUGAUUCACAUGAAUUUCCAUUUGGAUUUUUCCAGAAGGAAUCGUUGCCCCAUUUAGAAGAGCUUGGAUUGUCUCGUAGUAACUUCAAAGAGUUAUUCACCUCUAAAAGUUCUGAUCUGGAUGGCUAUUUUGUUGUGUUCUUUUCACAACUAAAGACCUUAAAAUUGAGUUCUUUGUCACAAAGCUAAGGGGUCUGACUAUAACGAAAUGUGAUAGAUUAGUAUAUUUGUUCACAUCUUCAACUGCAAAAAGUUAUCUCUACUCAAAAAGUUGUCCGUAUGGAAUUGUGAAUCAAUGCAACAAAUAGUUGCUAAAGGAGAUGAAUCGGGUCAAGACGUGAUAACAUUUGAGAAUCUCAAAGAAUUGUUUAUCAGCGAUCUUCCAAGACUUGAUAGCUUUUACCCGGGGACUUGCAAUUUGAAAUUCCCUUCCUUGGAACAAGUUUCAAUAUUCGACUGCUCUCAGAUGAAGGUUUCUCUCAUGCUGAUAUAUAUGCACCGGAUAAUGUGACUAUUGAUUAUCUUUUGGAUAAUAAUCUUAGAGCUAUGCUGGAGAAGGCCUUCAAGAAGGCAGCCUGAUGAGUUAUUACAAAUGAGAAAUUUUGCACUGUUAUCGGAAAUCAUCUUUUACAAGACAAGCUUAUUUUGGUUCUGCUUCUCAGUCACACCGCUUUAAAGUAAAUACAUGUAUAUAUUAUUACUCUUUGAAGUUAUGCAGGUUGAGGGAGAUUGGAAUCGUCCUUGUCAUUUUCCUUGGGUUGAUGAUGUAGAAAUUGAAGACUAGGUUUGUGUGGAUUCUCAGUUCCAGAUUGUAAGUUGUAAAAUAUUCAGAGAUGAAAACUUACUGAAUUCCAAUUUGAGGUGGUGACCUUUAUAUUUGAAUCAGAAGGAACUCUGGACAAAUUGUUUGAAUGACAUUGAUAAGAAAACGAACGCUUGUCAGUUGAGAAUGUGUGCGCUUUUUAA